RNAcentral lists this long non-coding RNA (266 nucleotides) under Elaeis guineensis (African oil palm). Its description in RNAcentral is "long non-coding RNA (EGUI_LNC031077)". The record is from RNAcentral. Lineage: Eukaryota; Viridiplantae; Streptophyta; Magnoliopsida; Arecales; Arecaceae.
AAAAUACUCCAAGGAGACUCUCACAGGCCUGUCGUAUUAGGAUCCUCUAACACCCUAGGAUGCUUCCUGUGAUGCUCUUAGCCAUGGAUCCUCUCCUCUCAGAUUCUCCCAGUCGCUAUAUAGAUCCUCUGCUCACUCUGUUGCCCACAGGCCAUCAACCCUCUUUUUAAAGACCUCAAAAUCAAGUCCAGAUCGAAAUCUAAGCUCUGUUAGGACUCAGAUACCUUUCUGACCAUCCGAUCUCUUUCGCAUGCAUCCAUGGCCAU